RNAcentral lists this ribosomal RNA (253 nucleotides) under uncultured bacterium. RNAcentral's name for it is "partial 16S ribosomal RNA". It matches the Rfam family "Bacterial small subunit ribosomal RNA", at positions 524 to 776 of the family's 1533-position model. The record is from RNAcentral.
UACGUAGGGUGCGAGCGUUAAUCGGAAUUACUGGGCGUAAAGCGUGCGCAGGCGGUUUGUUAAGACAGAUGUGAAAUCCCCGGGCUUAACCUGGGAACUGCAUUUGUGACUGGCAAGCUAGAGUAUGGCAGAGGGGGGUAGAAUUCCACGUGUAGCAGUGAAAUGCGUAGAGAUGUGGAGGAAUACCAAUGGCGAAGGCAGCCCCCUGGGUCAAUACUGACGCUCAUGCACGAAAGCGUGGGGAGCAAACAGG